This 404-nucleotide ribosomal RNA is filed under the name uncultured cyanobacterium. RNAcentral's name for it is "bacterial SSU rRNA". It matches the Rfam family "Bacterial small subunit ribosomal RNA", at positions 370 to 788 of the family's 1533-position model. The record is from RNAcentral. Lineage: Bacteria; Bacillati; Cyanobacteriota.
AAUGGGCGCAAGCCUGACGGAGCAAGACCGCGUGAGGGAAGAAGGUCUGUGGAUUGUAAACCUCUUUUGAUAGGGAAGAAGACAGUGACGGUACCUAUCGAAUCAGCCUCGGCUAACUCCGUGCCAGCAGCCGCGGUAAUACGGAGGAGGCAAGCGUUAUCCGGAAUUAUUGGGCGUAAAGAGUCCGUAGGUGGGUAACCAAGUCAGCUGUUAAAUAGUGAAGCUUAACUUCAUAGAGGCGGCUGAAACUGGUUGUCUAGAGUGUGGUAGGGGUAGAGGGAAUUCCCAGUGUAGCGGUGAAAUGCGUAGAUAUUGGAAAGAACACCGGUGGCGAAAGCGCUCUACUGGGCCUGCACUGACACUGAGGGACGAAAGCUAGGGGAGCGAAAGGGAUUAGAUACCCC